CAUUGGGCCAGCGUGGAAGACUAUGGCCUAAGCCCUUCUCAUUCUGAGAGGAGACCCGUACUCAGUAGUGGGGCGGAAAUGGGUUGAUCAUGAUGAUGAUGAUGAUGAUGUAUAAUGAUUGCGAACAGAGUUACCCAAUUGCCCUCUUUGGACGGAUUGCAUCGCAAUACAUCUAAACUAAUUCAAAAUAAAGCAUCAUCCAAAUCUGCCCGACUAAACCGACUAUGAAGCGGGAACAUUAGCCGCGUGGCGGUCGUCUCCCACGAUAAUUACUGGUGCCAUGUACACUUACGCGGUCAUUACAUGUAUAGACGAACCCACAUCCCGCGUUCAUGACGCGCAGGUGUGGACGUGACUUUGCGUUUUUACCACGCAACGCGAUUGACGCGAUGUAGUAGUCAAAAAAUAUGCACAAGUCUAUGUCCAAUAUUUGUUAACACUCCCGGUGCCUUAAAUAGUUCAAGCGUAUUUUUGUUGUAAAAAUAAAUAAUUUAUGGUUUUUAUUUUUAUUCUAUAAAUGUGACGAUAAAUAAAGACAAAUAUACCU
Maniola jurtina (meadow brown) is the source of this 547-nucleotide long non-coding RNA. RefSeq lists it as uncharacterized. Lineage: Eukaryota; Metazoa; Arthropoda; Insecta; Lepidoptera; Nymphalidae. The transcript has 2 exons. The record is from RefSeq and is a predicted model, not a curated record.